CCAUGGAACGAUCAAGGAGGGUGACUUAGGAGGAACUGGUCGACGGCAGAUCUCUUUAAUAUUAGAGAUAUCCCCAUGUGCGGGAUGCUAUACUGAACGACCAUGAUACAUGGCACCAUGGAGCUCGACCUAACAAAACCGCACUCCUGCAAGAUAAGAUGGUUGUCGUUGUCCUUUUGCAGCCUAUUCUUUCGCUUCCUCCAUUACAUUGGCUUCCUGGAGUCAGUAUCAAGUGAUGGCUUCCCAGUCUCGGGCUACAAACUUCCCCAAUCGGCCACCCUUUGAAAUUUAGUGGUUGGAGGUGGCCUGGUGUUUCACUGGAACAACAUACUGUUCACCAACUCAUCUUUAUAUCAUUACAAAAGUUUCCUUCCCGAUAUCUCCUAUUCUCAAACUGCCUACUCCUCUCUUUU
RNAcentral lists this long non-coding RNA (413 nucleotides) under Hordeum vulgare. RNAcentral describes it as "long non-coding RNA (HVUL_LNC017304)". Lineage: Eukaryota; Viridiplantae; Streptophyta; Magnoliopsida; Poales; Poaceae. The record is from RNAcentral.